GAUGAAGAACGCAGCGAAAUGCGAUAAUUAAUGUGAAUUGCAGAAUUCAGUGAAUCAUCGAAUCUUUGAACGCACAUUGCGCCCGCCAGUAUUCUGGCGGGCAUGCCUGUUCGAGCGUCAUUUCAACCCUCAAGCCCCCGGGCUUGGUGUUGGGGAUCGGCGUGCCCUCGCGGCGCGCCGUCCCCUAAAUCUAGUGGCGGUCUCGCUGUAGCUUCCUCUGCGUAGUAGCAACACUCGCACUGGAUCGCAGCGCGGCCACGCCGUUAAACCCCCCACUUCUGAAAGUUUGACCUCGGAUCAGGUAGGAAUACCCGCUGAACUUAAGCAUAUCAAUAAGCGGGGA
RNAcentral lists this unclassified non-coding RNA (343 nucleotides) under soil metagenome. Its description in RNAcentral is "partial contains 5.8S ribosomal RNA, internal transcribed spacer 2, and large subunit ribosomal RNA". The stretch from base 1 to 120 matches the Rfam family "5.8S ribosomal RNA", at positions 35 to 154 of the family's 154-position model. The record is from RNAcentral.